CAUUAAGAAGCUAUAAGCACAGCAACAGCCUUUUAAGCUGGAGACAGGUGAUUCCGACCACCCUUAAUGA
This 70-nucleotide transfer RNA is filed under the name Indirana semipalmata. RNAcentral's name for it is "tRNA-Lys". It matches the Rfam family "tRNA". Rfam says of the family: Transfer RNA (tRNA) molecules are approximately 80 nucleotides in length. Their secondary structure includes four short double-helical elements and three loops (D, anti-codon, and T loops). The record is from RNAcentral. Lineage: Eukaryota; Metazoa; Chordata; Amphibia; Anura; Ranixalidae.